This 491-nucleotide ribosomal RNA is filed under the name Nipponacmea fuscoviridis. RNAcentral's name for it is "partial 16S ribosomal RNA". It matches the Rfam family "Bacterial large subunit ribosomal RNA", at positions 1907 to 2515 of the family's 2925-position model. The record is from RNAcentral. Lineage: Eukaryota; Metazoa; Mollusca; Gastropoda; Lottiidae.
UCCCAGCAAUGGUGACUAAAUUGCCGCGGUACCCUGACCGUGCGAAGGUAGCGAAUAAUAAUUUGCCUAUUAAUUGUUGGCCAGAAAUGAAUGGUGUGACGCUGGUGGCGCUGUCUCGUUAGUACUGAUUUGAAUUUGACCUCUGGGUGAAAAGGCCCAGAUAGGCCUGAAAGACGAUUAGACCCUGUCGAACUUUAAGUAAACUAGUUUUAAGGAAAAACGGCUAAGCUUUUGGUUGGGAAAACCGGAGGUAAGAAAAAACACCUCCUCCCUUUGAGACACCCGUUAUUUAUGGGGUAAUAGAGAAUUUACCUUAAGGGCAAUUGGCCUGAUGGAGAGUAAAACAAUAGGGCAAUAAAAGUCUGACAGGACAUAGUUAACUUAUCAAACGAACCUAAAGACCCGCCUGUAAGGCGGGAAACUAUUAAUAAGGAAUAGUUACCGCAGGGAUAACAGCGUAAUCCUCCCGGCGAGACCACAUUAAUGGGGGG